CAAGUGGAUAUUGAUUAUGAUAUUUUUGUGUUAGUUAUCUCAUCAAGAAGCUGGUAACGAGGCUGCAGAAGCCUUAAGCACGCAAGAUCACUUAAAAUAGAACGGGUCGAAAGUGAAGGCGAUGGGGUUACGCCAUUGCCCAACUAUCUUACCCUAGAAAACCUGCUGGCAUUUAGGGUCAUUCAUUCAUUUGCAAGGCAAUGUACCAUACGCCACUCCGGUGUAUGGUAUGGCGAGUUCUGAAUUCGGGUGAAUCCAACGGGUAAACAGGUGGGAGUGGAGCCUAGAGACGUCUAAACAGUUUUUUGUUCAAAGUUUGCGGGACUGCAUCCAACAGGUAAUUUUUCAGAUCUGUGCAUUAAUUAUACGUGGAACAAGUGGGCCCUGGUGUUGGGUUAAUCUUGAUGUUACGGGUCGUGUACGGGUCAAGUCGGUGACCGGUUUUUUUAAAUGGGUCACCAAAUAGCAAACGGGUCACGGGUCAACGGUAACGAUUAAUGGGUCAUGGUCAGUAGACUAUUAGGCCAGUAAAUACCUCAUGUAAUCAUGGGUUUGAGAGAUUGUGGUGAAUGAAGACUUUGACAGGUUUGAUCGAGCUUCAUGGAAAAUAAACGUUGAGACGAGAUGAACGUGGAACGCAAGAAAAAUAGGAACUGAUAGUUUGACUGAGCAAAUACCUUUGUUUAUUAUAAAUUAUAAAAGGUUGUAAUUUUUCUUUGGGUAUGUACCCCAUUUUCAUUCAAUACAGUAGCUUUCUUCAUCUUUA
This is a long non-coding RNA of Helianthus annuus (common sunflower), 766 nucleotides long. RefSeq lists it as uncharacterized. The transcript has 2 exons. NCBI's taxonomy places the organism in Eukaryota, Viridiplantae, Streptophyta, Magnoliopsida, Asterales, Asteraceae. The record is from RefSeq and is a predicted model, not a curated record.